This is a long non-coding RNA of Equus caballus (horse), 1264 nucleotides long. Lineage: Eukaryota; Metazoa; Chordata; Mammalia; Perissodactyla; Equidae. The record is from Ensembl.
UGGGACCGUGGGCUUUCCCACUGGUUCACAGGGUAAUCACGGGGGGCUUAGGGUUGUAGGCACCUGUUUCCACAGCCAUGCUGAUGCACAUGCCCACCCUCGGGGCAAUGGCAGUGCUAUGAGUGUCAGCCGGGAGAGAGUUUCUCACAGGUUGCAUACAAGAAUAGACAUGACUCCAUUAUCUCCCGGCUCACUGUGAAAAAGAAAAUCCUGACAUCAGAGUAAAGAAUGAGUUUGAACUCGCCAGGCCGAGCCCCCAGGAAGCCCCAUCCGUCUCUCCACACUUCUGCUGUCGCUCCCAUUGUGGGGGAGACAUUACUCAAACCACAGGCUGCAGACUCCCAGGUAACUGCAGCCAGCGGGAGGCUCCGCGGGACAACAAGUGUGCUCUUCAUCCACCUUUUUGUUGCGAUGGGAAGAAAUGCGCUCGCUUGGCUUUUCUCUGCCUGUGUUAACACACCCCGGUGGCAAAUGCUUUAUUGCUGGGCCUUGACCACACUCUUUGAGACUCACUGACUCUGCGGUCAUAAAUUCUUGAUAUAAACAAAUUCAUGGUUUUCCAUCUAUCCAAACCAACCAGAAAAGAUUACAUGUUCAUAUGUUUUUGUUGAAAGUGUAUUUAAAAUUUCGCUUACAGGAAUUGCCCCCUGGAGAAGACAACUUGAUUUUUCUCUUAGAUUUUGGGAGACUGAAUGUGCCAUCAGAUUCUGUCAAAGAUAACAAAGCCAUCCUCAACUUUGGGGCCGACAUAUAGACUCCACUGAACGCUCAGUCGCAGUGCUUUUUGUGUUAGAAAGACUCGUGGGAGAUAAGAAAAUGAAGUGUCUUUAUUUCUUUCCUCCACAAGUAGCUGGUUUCAGUGAGCGUUGGUGGCGUUGGUACCGUGGGUUCAUUAACAAACAUUCUAACGCUCGUCCUGUGUUUGACUCACCACGAAACCGUACACUAAAUCUGCUCCGUGUUCUUUGUAGAAUUCUGUAUGUGUCAUCUGGCUUGGAUUCACUAUCUGCGUUUUACAGAGAAGGAACAAAUUUGAACAAAAUAUAGAAGCUUUAAGCAACACACAUUGAACUCAAACAUUUAAGACUUAGAGUGAUCUUAAGCUCGUGUCUUUAUCUUGUCAUUUUCUGUGACGUGUGGUCUAUUUUGGAUGCUGAGUUUGUUCCACGUCCCCAGCAUCCAGAUAAUAUAAGGCGAGGAAUUCAGACUCUCCUAACAGAAAAAAGGAAAAUAACGUGAGAAAAUUGUACUGUUUUAUUUUAAC